Molecule: RNA transcript, 3179 nt
Organism: Triticum aestivum (bread wheat)
Lineage: Eukaryota; Viridiplantae; Streptophyta; Magnoliopsida; Poales; Poaceae
Exons: 3
Source: RefSeq, a predicted model, not a curated record
GGGAAGCUGUGGUUGAGAGAGCGUGGUAUGGUAUCCAGCUGCUAGUAUAGGUAGAUGGUGUCAAAAAGUUUCUGCCCUCCGUUGGCAUCACCUGGACACCGCUCCCUCUCUAGCCGUUGGAGUGGCCGGCAUAGCCCACACAUCAUGUUGUAUACAGUUUUGUUUUCUUUUGUCGGAAGCAUUUUUAGUAGUCUAUACUACUAUUAAACAAGCAAACAUUUUCUUCUCUAAACACCCCCAGCUAAUGUACACACAACAAAUCAAAGCAAUUAUAGCCUCACGAUCAGACUCACUUAUUUAGAUCUAACUGUUAACAUAACAACUAACCUCGUCAACAGUACGUUUAGCAAUUUUGAGGUGCGGACGAAAACUCUGCCAUGAGCGAGCGGACGUUAAAAAAAAGGCUCGCUGGGCAACCACGUAAUCCCACCCUCAAUUAACGCUAACUUCCUAUCUAAUCUCACCCGAGCGAGCGGGACGGGGGGCAUGCCCGGCGGGUAGUCCGCCUCAGAAGUCCACGCCACAGGGAGCGCAGGAUAACCACAGUCGCCGUUGCCAUGGCUGGCAAGAGCAUCGAGGCUGCUUCCUCUCCGUUCAGGACGCUGGUCUGGCGUCGGGCCGGAACAAGGUGUCGUUCUUUCUGUGCCGCGCGCCGUCCGUUCUUGGCGCGAGAGGGCUACGCCGCCGUCGCAGUUGGCCGUGUUGACGGAGACAACGAGGGCGCCGCCAAGUCCAUGCGCCGCCUCGGCCCCAGUAGCUUGGAGUCUAAAGGGAUCGUGCCGUUCCAUGGUGCAGACCCUGCGCCGUCGUCCUUGGCCGCGCGGGGCUGCAGAUCGCACCGACGGCCAGAGGCGACCACCCGUGCGGCUGCGUUCAAAGGCGCUGUGCACAGGGAGAUGGCCAGCCUCCCAGAGAGGAAGACACCGAUCAGAAUCGACAUGAUUUUCUUACCAUGGUGUAAUCUUGAGCACGCAAAGGCGCUGUGCACAGGAGAUGGCUGGCCUCCCGGAGAGGAUGACACUGGUACUGAACUACUUGCCAUUAGCUGUUGGUGAUGUGGAUUCAAACAGUCCACAAUUAUUUUGCUGAGUUUGGAUAAAAUUGAUUAGUGGCAAUAUUUUACUCUCAGAAAAUAAAUGUUUAUUAUUGGAUAAUGUACUUAGAAUUAUUUGCAACACGCCAAUGCGGGCGAAUAGUUUUGUACUAUCAACUGCAACAAGAUGUUCCGGGUAUCUACAUCCUCCCCUUCAUUACUACUCCGUACUAUAUAGUCCUAUCAAUGGGAAAAUGAAGUGCAGAAAAGUCUGCAACAAGAUAUACUCUGUUAUCUACCUUGUUAUUUCAGUAAUUGAAUUCACGGGCUAAUGAAGUCUGAUAAUUUUUCUUGCGUGGACAUCAAAUCUUCACUUCGAUUUUGACUACAGGACUGACGACUUAAAGACCAUAACCCAAAUUUAGGUUCGGUUUUGCUUUCUCAGUUCAAUAGAGUGGCCCAAAGAACUGAUUUUGAAAUUUACACUACAACCUGAGCUCUAAGAGUGUUUGCAGGUCAUUGUUCAGACUGCAACAGUUUCGACAUCAUUAUCUGCAAUUAGAUUUGAUUUGGUGUGUCGCGGGGAAGAGGAGGCAGCGGCGCCGGUACGUAGCAGACUGGACUGAAGGCGGAGCAUCAGAGUACUCUGAUCUACCAGAGUGUCCGAUUGAUGCUGCCCACUGCUCUUGAUAUAUCAAGUAAACAGUUCGCUCGGAGUGAUUUAAAUUUAGUCUUCACGAACGGCGGCCCGGCCGUCCUCCCCAGGGCGGCUCGGGCGGCGACCCCUCCCCCGGCCGAAACCCCCCUCCCGCUACUCCCUCCCGCCGCCGCCAAAAGCUCCUGCCGGGCAAAGCCCGCUCAGAUCUGGCGGCGGCGGGGCGUCAUUCUUUGCGCAGAGCGCCCCACGAGCCGGGGAGCUCUGUGUGGCGCGGGCGGCGCGGCGUGACUCCGACGCGCGUCACUUCUUCGAGCGCGGUGGCCGGGGACGGUGGGGGUGGGUGCGCUUGCGGCUCCCUCCCGCUGGCCUCCCUCGAACCGGCGACUCCCCGCUGCGUUGGCGCCCGGUGCUUCGGGGGCGUCGGGGAUCUGCUGGUUUUGGUUGGGGGUCCGGCGGAGGUGCUCUGUGAGGCGCGGGGUGGUGGUGCUCGCCCCUUGCCUGGGCGACGUGCCUGCCGGCCGCGGAUUUGGCUCCGAUCCGAUUGGGGGCGGGCGGGGCAUGUUGGAUCCUGCCGGAUCUGGCCUGCGGUGGACCGGAUCCGGUCAUGUGUGGCGGCGGGGCUGCAGUGGCCCUUCUCUGUGGCAAUGUGCAGGGGGCAGUGCUCCACGACCUGUCAAUGCUUCUAGGAGGUGGUAUUCUCACUUGGGCGAAAGCUCUGCUCCUGCCGGAGCCGGCGACGGCGACGCCUGCGGGCGCCGUGUACCUCUGUGGAGGCGGCGCUGUCAUGGUGAGUGCUCCUCCGAAAACCUGGGGAAACCCAUGUUUCAGGUUCUCCUGGAACAGGUGAUGGCGGCGCAUUUUGUGUCGCAUCCCUUCUUGAAGGCAUCAUCUAGGUUCGGCUUGGUUCGUCUAUGUGGGGGCUGCUCGCUGUGGGUUCGAUGGUGGUGGUGGUGCGGCCAAUUUGGGGUCGACGGUGGUGUGUGCCUUGUUGGUGAGAAGGUGGUGCUCUGUCUGCGAGAUCGUGGCUCAGCCAUGCGCCGGAUUGGGUUUGAUUUUCAUCCGAAGCCGGGUUAGCAGGGUCGUUAUCCUACUCAAUGGAUCUCCUCGUUCCCAUAUGGCACCUCUACCUCUGCGGGGUGCUGUUGGGUGGCAACCAGCCGGCCAACGUUCAAGGCUCUUCUCCUUGCUUGGUCGGAUGAAGGUGUAAGUUGAGGUCCUCCUCCUUGCUGGUUGUGCUGAUGAUAUUUGGAAUGGCGGUCGGUGGUGUUGGUGCGUCCGGCUUCGGAUCUUCGAAAGGCCUUCUUCUGUGCCCUUUCCUCGGCGGGUCUUCCGGAGGUUCGGCUGGAUGUGUGCGUGCGUGUGUGUGUGUGUGUGUUUUUUGGUUGUGUCUCCUCUUGUUUCCCCCGUGUAUUCUGGUUCACUUGAACCUAUCUUGUAUGGAGCUGCGAGGCUUCUAGGCAAAUUCGAUGGAAUAUAUUCAGGUGGUUG